Molecule: long non-coding RNA, 668 nt
Organism: Mastomys coucha (southern multimammate mouse)
Lineage: Eukaryota; Metazoa; Chordata; Mammalia; Rodentia; Muridae
Exons: 3
Source: RefSeq, a predicted model, not a curated record
CAACAGAAUACAGAGAGAACAUCCAUGAUGCCUACAAUCUAAAUGUUUCAGUUAAACUGUAGUUAAGCACUGAAUCAUCAACAUUGGCUACUGAUAGAAACCAUGCUAGUAUGCCCCACUCCUUUGACAUGACUGACUCAAUGAAGAAAAAGCAAGCUUCCCUUCAGAAGUACCAUGAUGACUAUGAAAAUAUCUUCUGUGGCUGGUGACCUGCAGCAAAGCCCUGAGCACUUUCCAAACCCUGGGUGAGAAAAGCUCAGUUCUGGUUUGAAAAUUCAAGUAUCUGAUGCAAGCAUGGCCGCACCCUUGUUUCCAGCAAGAACACACAAAUUCUGAGGCAGCUGGGGAGGAAGAGAAAGCUGAACACACAUCGGGGAAGCCAGUAGCUCAGCGCUCUCCUCAAGUUGUCUAUGAUUUUAAAAAUAGAAAUCUGUUCAGCUCCCCGUCUAAGCUGAAAUCCUGUGACCUGUUGAGGCUAAAAACACACUCCUCAAGUGAACUUCUACUAAAUGAUGAUAGAGCACUUGUAUUUUAUGUUAGGCUUUGAGUCUGUUGAUCCAUAGAGGCUGUGACAUCAUCACACAGAAGGCCUUUCUCCUUACAGCUGAGCCCCCAGAUGUGAGAAACGUUUCACAACUGCCGCUCUCAAUAACACUACCUUGUCACUA